UACGGAGGGGGCGAGCGUUGUCCGAAUUUAUUGGGCGUAAAGCGCGUGUAGGCGGACCGCCAAGCCUGGGGUGAAAGGUUGGGGCUCAACCCCAAGAGUGCCCUGGGGACUGGUUGUCUGGAGGCAGGCAGAGUAGUGUGGAAUUCCUGGUGUAGCGGUGGAAUGCGUAGAUAUCAGGAAGAACACCCGUGGCGAAGGCGGCACUCUGGGCCUGUACUGACGCUGAGACGCGAAAGCGUGGGGAGCGAACGGG
This 253-nucleotide ribosomal RNA is filed under the name uncultured bacterium. Its description in RNAcentral is "partial 16S ribosomal RNA". It matches the Rfam family "Bacterial small subunit ribosomal RNA", at positions 524 to 776 of the family's 1533-position model. The record is from RNAcentral.